This is a long non-coding RNA of Siniperca chuatsi (mandarin fish), 1866 nucleotides long. RefSeq lists it as uncharacterized. The record is from RefSeq and is a predicted model, not a curated record. The transcript is spliced from 2 exons. NCBI's taxonomy places the organism in Eukaryota, Metazoa, Chordata, Actinopteri, Centrarchiformes, Sinipercidae.
UUAUUACUGCUGCAUCAAUGUGAAUGUGUAAGAAGCAUUUUGCUGUUGUAGCUGGAGCUACUUUUAAAUACUUUAUAAAAUUAUCUGGUUCAGUCACGUGGUUCCCAACCUCGUCGUAAGAUGGUUAGUCGGGUAGAAACGAAGGAAAAAUAAACUGUGAUACACACAUUUUCAUGAAUUUUUCGAGACUUUUUUUCAAAUCUUUAGUGAGAUAUUGGAUAAUUUUACCUCUUUGGGCCUUAAACAAUUAUUUAAAUGAAACCAUCUGAGAAGUUCAGAGGGGAAACGUCUCUUUGGUGGAACUGCAAACAACUCAAACACAUCUGAAACAUGACAACUAGACACUGUUGGGAACUGCUGCUUUCAUCUUUAACAACACACUGUGUCGCAUUAACUUAUCAUAGAUUUUUUUUUAUGUAAAAUUGUAAUCUGUAAAGUAACUACAGCUAUCAGUAGAAUAGAAGUAUACAGAAGGACAAAAUGGAAAUACUUUCUUUCCUUCAAUGACCUUGAGGAGGUGAUUCACGCCUUUAUCUCGCUUUGACUAUUGCAGCAGCCUUGACUCAGCCAGUCUCUGCUUUCUCGCCUCCAGCUGCCCGGCUCUCAACAGGCACACGUGUGACCACAUCACGCCCAUUUUGGCCUCUCUGCGCCUCUCCGUCUCGUUUUAGAAUUGAUUUUAAGAUCUUAUUGUUUUGUUUUUAAGUCAAUGCGUCGGCGCCUCCUUACCUCGCCGAUCUUUUAUCUCCCUCGAGAUCACUCUGGUCUGCUGACCAGAUGCAGGUCCAGAUUAAAGCACAGGGGAGGUCGGGCCUUUGCUGUCGCUGCUCCUAAAUUAUGGAACAGCCUACCGCUCCACAUCUGGACCUCACCUACAGUGGACACUUUUAAAACUGGGCCUCUGCAGUCGGGGUUCCUCUUUCCUCGCUCCUUCCUCUCUUGGCUCCAACCUCCGCUGCAGGUCUGCUGAGCCAACUCUUCUGCUAAAACUCUGGUGACUUGGGCUUAGGCUGUCACUUCUGCCAACAGGAAACACUUUUAGCUUGUGGAGGCUCUCUUGGAGGUAUUGAUCCUCUCACUACUGUGUCCCUAGAGCACCUAAACCAGAACUUUACAAAUACAUUGCCAACUUCGGCUUUUGUCUGCUGUAGAGAAAACACACAAUUGACAAAACCAUUAAAAGUGAGUUUGUUCAUACCCUGCAGCUUUAGCCCACAUACUUUGAGCAAUCAAAAAUUGCAGAUGUUUAAGACAUUUAAAAACUGUUUCAAUAAGGAAAAAAGACCAAAAAUAAUGAAAAUGUACUAAAAUUUAAUCAUUCAUAAAAGCUGGAAAAUCAUCUGUGACAGCAAUAUUAGAGUUGGUUUAGUACAAUAUAUUUUCAGCCUCAAGACAAAAUCAGAACGCACCAUUCCCCCCCCCAUCAGUCUAUAAAAUACUAAUUUCCUUAGCUUUAUUAUGCAAAAAUGGAAGUAGAAUAUAUUAUGGGAAAUAUGGAAGGCUUGCAGCUUUCAAUAUAAAACAAAGUCACUUAGGAAAGAUGUUAUCUCAUCAAUACACAUCCUUGUAAGUAGGAGCGAGAAACCUAUGAACAAUGAUGCAUCUUUGUUGACACUGUUAGUGCAGAAAUGUAUGAGAAGGCCAACAUUUCACAUGGUUUGUUUUGCAAGCGUAUUGUCACAAUAUGCCAGACUAAUGUUACUUUUAAUAAAACAUUUUAGUUCCCAUAUAGGGAUUUAAACCCAUGGUCUCGUCUUUUACACUGAUAUUUCCAGAAGAAAGACACCUUGGAGAAGUAAAACAAAAAACAUAAACAGAGCUGUCAUCAGGCUGACAAUAAACAACAACAACAAAAAAAAAAAAAAA